AGAAGCUGCAGAGAGGCCACUGAGAGCGGGCCUGGCCAUGUGGAGUGCCCUGUGCCUGGGCUUCUUGCCCAUUGUAGCCGUCUCGCUCGCCGGUGCAGCCACCUUGGAGCAGCCCAGGGAAGUGACCGUGCAAGAGGGAAAAGCAGUCACCUUGCAAUGCCGCAUGCAGGUGGAUUCUAUGAGGUACUACACCGUCUCGUGGUACCGAGAGCGCCGACAGGGCUCUCAGGAAUGGAUUUACAAGGAGGAUGGCACCUAUGGAGAAGGUUUCAAGGGUCGCUUUCAGAUAAAAGAUGAGAAGUUCAAGAACAGCUACACACUGCAGAUCCGGGCAGCAGAGCCAGGCGAUACAGCAAAGUAUUACUGUCGGUGUGGAGUCCGAUCCAUGGAUGACAUUUCUCCAGGAACUUCUCCAGUGCAGGUUCUUCCCUUUGGCUGCAGUUCCUCACAAACUCCUAAAGCCUAA
Molecule: non-coding RNA, 466 nt
Organism: Agelaius phoeniceus (red-winged blackbird)
Lineage: Eukaryota; Metazoa; Chordata; Aves; Passeriformes; Icteridae
Source: the annotation of a RefSeq genome assembly